RNAcentral lists this ribosomal RNA (479 nucleotides) under uncultured bacterium. RNAcentral describes it as "partial 16S ribosomal RNA". It matches the Rfam family "Bacterial small subunit ribosomal RNA", at positions 28 to 507 of the family's 1533-position model. The record is from RNAcentral.
GAUGAACGCUGGCGGCGUGCUUAACACAUGCAAGUCGAACGAAGCACCUUGAUUUGAUUCUUCGGAUGAAGAUCUUGGUGACUGAGUGGCGGACGGGUGAGUAACGCGUGGGUAACCUGCCUCAUACAGGGGGAUAACAGUUAGAAAUGACUGCUAAUACCGCAUAAGACCACAGCACCGCAUGGUGCAGGGGUAAAAACUCCGGUGGUAUGAGAUGGACCCGCGUCUGAUUAGGUAGUUGGUGGGGUAGCGGCCUACCAAGCCGACGAUCAGUAGCCGACCUGAGAGGGUGCCCGGCCACCUUGGGACUGAGGCACGGCCCGGACUCCUACGGGAGGCAGCAGUGGGGUAUAUUGCACAAUGGGGGAAACCCUGAUGCAGCGACGCCGCGUGAGCGAUGAAGUAUUUCGGUAUGUAAAGCUCUAUCAGCAGGGCAGAAAAUGACGGUACCUGACUAAGAAGCACCGGCUAAAUACGUG